GAAUUCACUAGUGAUUUGGCGGCGUGGNUAAGACAUGCAAGUCGAACGAGAGANUUGCUAGCUUGCUAAUAAUUCUCUAGUGGCGCACGGGUGAGUAACACGUGAGUAACCUGCCCCCGAGAGCGGGAUAGCCCUGGGAAACUGGGAUUAAUACCGCAUAGUAUCGAAAGAUUAAAGCAGCAAUGCGCUUGGGGAUGGGCUCGCGGCCUAUUAGUUAGUUGGUGAGGUAACGGCUCACCAAGGCGAUGACGGGUAGCCGGUCUGAGAGGAUGUCCGGCCACACUGGAACUGAGACACGGUCCAGACACCUACGGGUGGCAGCAGUCGAGAAUCAUUCACAAUGGGGGAAACCCUGAUGGUGCGACGCCGCGUGGGGGAAUGAAGGUCUUCGGAUUGUAAACCCCUGUCAUGUGGGAGCAAAUUAAAAAGAUAGUACCACAAGAGGAAGAGACGGCUAACUCUGUGCCAGCAGCCGCGGUAAUACAGAGGUCUCAAGCGUUGUUCGGAAUCACUGGGCGUAAAGCGUGCGUAGGCUGUUUCGUAAGUCGUGUGUGAAAGGCGCGGGCUCAACCCGCGGACGGCACAUGAUACUGCGAGACUAGAGUAAUGGAGGGGGAACCGGAAUUCACGGUGUAGCAAAUCGAAU
This 646-nucleotide ribosomal RNA is filed under the name uncultured Akkermansia sp. Its description in RNAcentral is "bacterial SSU rRNA". It matches the Rfam family "Bacterial small subunit ribosomal RNA", at positions 20 to 687 of the family's 1533-position model. The record is from RNAcentral. Lineage: Bacteria; Pseudomonadati; Verrucomicrobiota; Verrucomicrobiia; Verrucomicrobiales; Akkermansiaceae.